RNAcentral lists this unclassified non-coding RNA (117 nucleotides) under fungal sp. Its description in RNAcentral is "partial internal transcribed spacer region". Lineage: Eukaryota; Fungi. The record is from RNAcentral.
UCGAAAUCGAUACGCAAUCCAUAGCCAUAACCAAUACCAAGUUCUUUAUAGAAAUCCUUGAAUUGAAAUUGUGAACCAAUACGUUCGGGGUCAUAUAGCAAAGUCCAGACAUUAGCC